RNAcentral lists this ribosomal RNA (497 nucleotides) under uncultured bacterium. RNAcentral describes it as "partial 16S ribosomal RNA". It matches the Rfam family "Bacterial small subunit ribosomal RNA", at positions 28 to 507 of the family's 1533-position model. The record is from RNAcentral.
GAUGAACGCUGGCGGCGUGCCUAAUACAUGCAAGUCGAGCGAACAGACGAGGAGCUUGCUCCUCUGACGUUAGCGGCGGACGGGUGAGUAACACGUGGAUAACCUACCUCUAAGACUGGGAUAACUUCGGGAAACCGGAGCUAAUACCGGCUCAUAUAUUGAACCGCAUGGUUCAAUAGUGAAAGACGGUUUUGCUGUCACUUAUAGAUGGAUCCGCGCCGCAUUAGCUAGUUGGUAAGGUAACGGCUUACCAAGGCGACGAUGCGUAGCCGACCUGAGAGGGUGAUCGGCCACACUGGAACUGAGACACGGUCCAGACUCCUACGGGAGGCAGCAGUAGGGAAUCUUCCGCAAUGGGCGAAAGCCUGACGGAGCAACGCCGCGUGAGUGAUGAAGGUCUUCGGAUCGUAAAACUCUGUUAUUAGGGAAGAACAAAUGUGUAAGUAACUCUGCACGUCUUGACGGUACCUAAACAAAAAGCCACGGCUAACUACGUG